This 253-nucleotide ribosomal RNA is filed under the name uncultured bacterium. RNAcentral's name for it is "partial 16S ribosomal RNA". It matches the Rfam family "Bacterial small subunit ribosomal RNA", at positions 524 to 776 of the family's 1533-position model. The record is from RNAcentral.
GACGUAGGGCGCGAGCGUUGUCCGGAUUUAUUGGGCGUAAAGAGCUCGUAGGCGGCUUGUCGCGUCGACUGUGAAAACCCGAGGCUCAACCUCGGGCGUGCACUCCAAACUCCCGGGCUCGAGGCAGGUAGGGGAGAUCGGAAUUCCUGGUGUAGCGGUGAAAUGCGCAGAUAUCAGGAGGAACACCGGUGGCGAAGGCGGAUCUCUGGGCCUGAUCUGACGCUGAGGCGCGAAAGCUAGGGGAGCGAACAGG